This 238-nucleotide ribosomal RNA is filed under the name uncultured bacterium. Its description in RNAcentral is "partial 16S ribosomal RNA". It matches the Rfam family "Bacterial small subunit ribosomal RNA", at positions 15 to 245 of the family's 1533-position model. The record is from RNAcentral.
GAUCCUGGCUCAGGAUGAACGCUAGCUACAGGCUUAACACAUGCAAGUCGAGGGGGCGAGCAUGAACUUAGCUUGCUAAGUUUGAUGGCGACCGGCGCACGGGUGAGUAACGCGUAUCCAACCUACCCUUGUCCAUCGGAUAACCCGUCGAAAGGCGGCCUAACACGAUAUGCGGUUCACCGCAGGCAUCUAACGUGAACGAAAUGUGAAGGAGAAGGAUGGGAUGCGUCUGAUUAGG